This 788-nucleotide ribosomal RNA is filed under the name uncultured bacterium. RNAcentral describes it as "bacterial SSU rRNA". It matches the Rfam family "Bacterial small subunit ribosomal RNA", at positions 15 to 797 of the family's 1533-position model. The record is from RNAcentral.
GAUCAUGGCUCAGGACGAACGCUGGCGGCGUGUCUAAUACAUGCAAGAGCGGACAGAUGGGAGCUUGCUCCCUGAUGUCAGCGGCGGACGGGUGAGUAACACGUGUAACCUGCCUGUAAGACUGGGAUAACUCCGGGAAACCGGGGCUAAUACCGGAUGCUUGUGAACCGCAUGGUUCAGACAUAAAAGGUGGCUUCGGCUACCACUUACAGAUGGACCCGGCGCAUUAGCUAGUUGGUGAGGUAACGGCUCACCAAGGCGACGAUGCGUAGCCGACCUGAGGGUGAUCGGCCACACUGGGACUGAGACACGGCCCAGACUCCUACAGGAGGCAGCAGAGGGAAUCUUCCGCAAUGGACGAAAGUCUGACGGAGCAACGCCGCGUGAGUGAUGAAGGUUUUCGGAUCGUAAAGCUCUGUUGUUAGGGAAGAACAAGUGCCGUUCAGAUAGGGCGGCACCUUGACGGUACCUAACCAGAAAGCCACGGCUAACUACGUGCCAGCAGCCCCGGUAAUACGUAGGUGGCAAGCGUUGUCCGGAAUUAUUGGGCGUAAAGGGCUCGCAGGGGGUUUCUUAAGUCUGAUGUGAAAGCCCCCGGCUCAACCGGGGAGGGUCAUUGGAAGCUGGGGAACUUGAGUGCAGAAGAGGAGAGUGGAAUUCCACGUGUAGCGGUGAAAUGCGUAAAGAUGUGGAGGAACACCAGUGGCGAAGGCGACUCUCUGGUCUGUAACUGACGCUGGGGAGCGAAAGCGUGGGGAGCGAACAGGAUUAGAUACCCUGGUAGUCCU